AGAGUUUGAUCAUGGCUCAGAUUGAACGCUGGCGGCAUGCCUUACACAUGCAAGUCGAGCGGCAGCGCGGGGGCAACCCUGGCGGCGAGCGGCGAACGGGUGAGUAAUGCAUCGGAACGUGUCCUCUUGUGGGGGAUAACCAGUCGAAAGACUGGCUAAUACCGCAUGAGAUCGAGAGAUGAAAGCAGGGGACCGCAAGGCCCUGCGCGAGAGGAGCGGCCGAUGCCGGAUUAGCUAGUUGGUGGGGUAACGGCCUACCAAGGCAACGAUCCGUAGCUGGUCUGAGAGGACGACCAGCCACACUGGGACUGAGACACGGCCCAGACUCCUACGGGAGGCAGCAGUGGGGAAUUUUGGACAAUGGGGGCAACCCUGAUCCAGCCAUGCCGCGUGUGUGAAGAAGGCCUUCGGGUUGUAAAGCACUUUCGGACGGAACGAAAUCGCGCGGGUUAAUAGUCCGCGUGGAUGACGGUACCGUAAGAAGAAGCACCGGCUAACUACGUGCCAGCAGCCGCGGUAAUACGUAGGGUGCGAGCGUUAAUCGGAAUUACUGGGCGUAAAGUGUGCGCAGGCGGCGCUGCAAGUCGAGUGUGAAAUCCCCGAGCUUAACUUGGGAAUUGCGCUCGAAACUAUGGCGCUGGAGUAUGGCAGAGGAAGGUGGAAUUCCACGUAGCGGUGAAAUGCGUAGAGAUGUGGAGGAACACCGAUGGCGAAGGCAGCCUUCUGGGCCAAUACUGACGCUCAUGCACGAAAGCGUGGGGAGCAAACAGGAUUAGAUACCCUCGUAGUCC
This 791-nucleotide ribosomal RNA is filed under the name uncultured bacterium. RNAcentral describes it as "bacterial SSU rRNA". It matches the Rfam family "Bacterial small subunit ribosomal RNA", at positions 8 to 796 of the family's 1533-position model. The record is from RNAcentral.